GUAAGGAUGGCUGAGCGGUCUAAGGCGCUGUGUUCAGGUCGCAGUCUCCUCUGGAGGCGUGGGUUUGAAUCCCACUUCUGACA
Molecule: transfer RNA, 83 nt
Filed under: Xenopus laevis (African clawed frog)
Lineage: Eukaryota; Metazoa; Chordata; Amphibia; Anura; Pipidae
Rfam family: tRNA
About the family: Transfer RNA (tRNA) molecules are approximately 80 nucleotides in length. Their secondary structure includes four short double-helical elements and three loops (D, anti-codon, and T loops).
Source: Rfam by way of RNAcentral